Molecule: ribosomal RNA, 495 nt
Filed under: uncultured bacterium
Lineage: Bacteria
Description: partial 16S ribosomal RNA
Rfam family: Bacterial small subunit ribosomal RNA
Source: RNAcentral
GAUGAACGCUGGCGGCGUGCUUAACACAUGCAAGUCGAGCGAAGCGAUUUUAAGGAAGCCUUCGGGUGGAAUUAAAAUUGACUUAGCGGCGGACGGGUGAGUAACGCGUGGGUAACCUGCCUCAUACAGGGGGAUAACAGUUAGAAAUGACUGCUAAUACCGCAUAAGCGCACAGUGCUGCAUAGCACAGUGUGAAAAACUCCGGUGGUAUGAGAUGGACCCGCGUCUGAUUAGGUAGUUGGCGAGGUAACGGCCCACCAAGCCGACGAUCAGUAGCCGACCUGAGAGGGUGACCGGCCACAUUGGGACUGAGACACGGCCCAAACUCCUACGGGAGGCAGCAGUGGGGAAUAUUGGACAAUGGGGGAAACCCUGAUCCAGCGACGCCGCGUGACUGAAGAAGUAUUUCGGUAUGUAAAGGUCUAUCAGCAGGGAAGAAAAUGACGGUACCUGACUAAGAAGCCCCGGCUAACUACGUGCCAGCCGCCGCUGUAA